CCUACGGGAGGCAGCAGUGGGGAAUAUUGCACAAUGGGGGAAACCCUGAUGCAGCAACGCCGCGUGAGUGAAGAAGGUCUUCGGAUUGUAAAGCUCUUUGAUCAGGGACGAACAGAUGACGGUACCUGAAGAACAAGCACCGGCUAACUACGUGCCAGCAGCCGCGGUAAAACGUAGGGGGCGAGCGUUGUCCGGAAUGACUGGGCGUAAAGGGUGCGUAGGCGGCAUAAUAAGUUAGAAGGGAAAUACCCAGGGCUUAACUCGGGUGCUGCUUCUAAGACGGUUGAUCUUGAGUGCGGGAGAGGUUAAUGGAAUUCCUAGUGUAGCGGUGGAAUGCGUAGAUAUUAGGAGGAACACCAGAGGCGAAGGCGAUUAACUGGACCGUAACUGACGCUGAGGCACGAAAGUGUGGGUAGCAAACAGGAUUAGAUACCCGAGUAGUC
RNAcentral lists this ribosomal RNA (443 nucleotides) under uncultured bacterium. RNAcentral's name for it is "partial 16S ribosomal RNA". It matches the Rfam family "Bacterial small subunit ribosomal RNA", at positions 338 to 795 of the family's 1533-position model. The record is from RNAcentral.